Molecule: long non-coding RNA, 433 nt
Organism: Poecilia latipinna (sailfin molly)
Lineage: Eukaryota; Metazoa; Chordata; Actinopteri; Cyprinodontiformes; Poeciliidae
Exons: 2
Source: RefSeq, a predicted model, not a curated record
AAUGCAGCUCAUCUUGGUCCAGAUUUUUUUUGUUGUUGUUUUAUCAUCUUCAGUUAUUUUCUCUGGAUUGUGGACCUUCUACUUUAUUUUAGUAAGUUGCAUUUUGUUUUAUUAAACUAUUUUUUUUGCUCCACUUCUGAUGCCCUUUGUCUGCAUAUGGAUUAUCCACAACCAACCAUAUUUUGUGACUGAUAACUGAACACUUUACUCGGCUUGAUGGUCAGACAGUCCAGUGGUGCCAGUGCAUGGCAGCCUUACCUCUUUCAGAAUGUCUCAGGGCAGCUGUGGCUACAAUCCAAUAGUUUGCCACCAUCUGGUCACCCCUGGCUACAAUCUGUUUGUUUCUUAUCCUAAUAAAAAUACUAAUAAAAGAACUUUUGAAUAUGUUGUAAGCUAAAUUGACCAAUUCAUGAAUAUGCAGUAAACAUUAUUG